Molecule: ribosomal RNA, 492 nt
Filed under: Algoriphagus marincola
Lineage: Bacteria; Pseudomonadati; Bacteroidota; Cytophagia; Cytophagales; Cyclobacteriaceae
Description: bacterial SSU rRNA
Rfam family: Bacterial small subunit ribosomal RNA
Source: RNAcentral
CAAGGAAAGGCGGCAGCUAUACAUGCAGUCGAGCGGUAGAGAUGCUUUCGGGUGUCUUGAGAGCGGCGCACGGGUGCGUAACACGUAUGCAACCUACCUUAUACAGGGGGAUAGCCCGGAGAAAUCCGGAUUAAUACCCCAUGGCAUCAUUUAACUGCAUGGUUUGAUGAUUAAAGAUUUAUCGGUAUAAGAUGGGCAUGCGUCUGAUUAGCUAGUUGGUGGGGUAACGGCCCACCAAGGCGACGAUCAGUAGGGGUUCUGAGAGGAAGGUCCCCCACACUGGCACUGAGAUACGGGCCAGACUCCUACGGGAGGCAGCAGUAGGGAAUAUUGGGCAAUGGACGAGAGUCUGACCCAGCCAUGCCGCGUGCAGGAAGACGGCCUAUUGGGUUGUAAACUGCUUUUAUACGGGAAGAAAAGGCCCAUGCGUGGGACAUUGCCGGUACCGUAUGAAUAAGCACCGGCUAACUCCGUGCCAGCAGCCGCGGUAAU